RNAcentral lists this microRNA (21 nucleotides) under Callithrix jacchus (white-tufted-ear marmoset). Its description in RNAcentral is "cja-miR-631". Its record names the gene cja-miR-631. RNAcentral also lists the same sequence under 3 other names. Lineage: Eukaryota; Metazoa; Chordata; Mammalia; Primates; Cebidae. The record is from miRBase by way of RNAcentral.
AGACCUGGCCCAGACCUCAGC